AUACAGGGGGUGCGAGCGUUAAUCGGAAUUACUGGGCGUAAAGAGUACGUAGGCGGUUGCUUAAGUCAGAUGUGAAAGCCCCGGGCUCAACCUGGGAACUGCAUUUGAAACUGAGUGACUAGAGUUUAAGAGAGGGGAGUAGAAUUCCGGGUGUAGCGGUGAAAUGCGUAGAGAUCCGGAGGAAUACCAGUGGCGAAGGCGGCUCCCUGGCUUAAACCUGACGCUGAGGUACGAAAGCGUGGGUAGCAAACAGGAUUAGAAACCCCAGUAGUCC
Molecule: ribosomal RNA, 274 nt
Filed under: uncultured bacterium
Lineage: Bacteria
Description: partial 16S ribosomal RNA
Rfam family: Bacterial small subunit ribosomal RNA
Source: RNAcentral